GUCUGGGCUGAAGCCAAUGGAGAGUGUGGGAUGUGAUCAUCAGGGAACGGGAGUGAGUGGAGAAAAGGGGGGGGGCGGCAGGUGCCCUGCGGAUGCGGAUUCCAUCCAUCCGUUCUCUCCAGCCCCCCGUCCUGCUCGCUUUCCCACGCCACAUCCACCACAGGCUGCCUUCCUUCUUUUCUCUUCUUACCUUUUUUAAAUCGAGAUAUAAUGGGCAUAUAACAUUAUAUUAGCUAGGGUGUACAACACAAUGAUUUGGUAUUUGUAUAUAUUGUGAAAUGAUAACUACAAUAAGUCUAGUUAACAUCUAUCACCGUAGUUACAAUUUAUUUUUCUUUUGAUGAAAAAGUUUAACAUUUACAUUCUUAGCAACUUUCAAACAUGCAAUACAGUAUUAUUAACUAUAGUCACCAUGCUGUACAUGACAUCUCCAUCACUUAGUUAUUUUAUAACUGGAAGUUUGUACCUUUUGACCCCCUUCAUCCAUUUUGCUCACCUAUCCCCUCUUUUAUUAUAUUUACACGUGGUUGGGCUCAGAGCCAAAUCUUAGCAUCUCAGGCACUUGCCCAGGGACAAAAGGAGAUGCCUGUAACUACACGCCUCCAACAUUAGAGGGAAGAGUUGUUCGGGUAGAAGAGUCUGGUCUUGGCUACCCCACUCUGGGUCCCAGAAGAAAGCUGCUUCCUUUAAUCUGGAGGCAAAGUAUACACUAAAGUUCUUUCUGCAUUUCUUCUUAGCACAUAUAACAUAAAUUCACAAUUUAAAAAGUAUUUUUACCACUAAGGAAAUAAUUACAGAACUAUGCAUUUAUUAACAAUAGCCCAAUUUCCAAAAUUAAAGAUUCUAAUUCAAAUGACUCUAAAAAAACAGUGACAAGAUUCCAAGACCUCGGAUUCCCUUAUAUCAGGAAUAGAACAUUCUAGAAGGAAGGGCUUGCACCAGUCAUUUGGUUUCUUCUAUUCCAGUCCUGCAUUUCCACAGGGGGUAAUUUUAUCUCCCUCCAAUGCAAUGCGUCUAAAGGGACAUUUUGCACCGCCCCCUCUCCCCCACGCCAGGACCAAUGCCAAAGCCUUAUUAAAACGAAAAAUUUUCUUCACGGUAUAAUUUUAAGUAAAAAAGCAUUAUGUUAAAUAUGAUCCCAGUUUUGCAAACACGUGUUACAUAUGCACUAAAGAGCCUGGAAGACAACAAUGAACAUCUUUGAGAGAGUGCAUUAUGGAUGUUUUGUUUCCACUUAUCUGUAUUUUCUUAUUGUCUUCUAUGAUAAAUACACUUUGCUUCAGUAAGAAAAAGUCAAUGAAGAUUUUUAAUUAUUUGAAAACUCUCACUGCUCAGAUUCCAGGCAGGCACGCGAUACGUAUUAAUUAGAUGUGUGAGGGAGUGAGAAUAAAUGAAGAUGAAUGAAUACCAAAGGGAUGGUCUCGUGCAGCGUGUCCCCGCGCUUCUUCUGAUGGAUGGCUGCCUUCUUCUGUGCUUGCAGAGCAAGACCUGAGUACAGCUCUAGGCUUCCUUCUGUUGCCACCUCCCUGAACCCACAAACAGAUCACUCAGAGAAGAACAGUAUCUCAGAGGGGAGCGGGUGUGGGGGCGGGGGAGUUGUUUGGCCUUUGUGAAUAAAGCGUCAGACUUGGAAGGCCCCGCCCCUAAUUAAUUGCCGGAGAAAGGCGAGUCUCCCGGUGUAAACAACCUGCAGCAGCUGGCGAGACAAGUCCCCGAAGCCCAGACCCAUACUAGCCAAUUAGCAGGGGCUCAUCUGAGAAGACAUUUCACCCGGGGACCUAACUGCUGAAUGUGUGCCAGACCAGCAGGGACAAACAAGCUGUGCCACCCUCCUCAGAAUUCAGAGGCUGCCACCAGUGCAAGACAAGUGAUGUGGAAUGUGUUUCCAAGAGACCAACGAACCAGCUCUGGAGUGCGGCAUUGUAGCAACAGAGAUGUCUGCCAAAUGACAGAGCACAUAAAAGGGAGAGCCCAUAAUUAAUCUGCACGGAGCGUCCGAUUCUUGGCAAGCUUAAUGAGCUGCUGUUGGCCCUGCACAUCGACACGGCACUCUCUAAUUCCUCCACACAUCAAGCAAAUGGAUAUGAACCCAAGGCAAUCAGAGGAUUGACAGGAAAGACAACAUCUAAUUUUUGCAGAUGCUCGCCAGCUCCCCUGGAGUAUACGUAAAGAAGGCUGCAUUUUGUGGCAGAAAAGCUGUCCUCUGCCAUGCACGCCCAGCAGUCCAGCCAUGAUGCCGGCAGGCAGCAGAAGGAGAACAAGGGGCCCUCCAGAGAACGCGUGUUUUUUAAUAAGAAUCUGUCUCCCUUGGAUGUGCAUAUGUAAAUAUGCAAUACAAUCACAGACAAGGACGCAGGAGGCUUCCUCCUCCCUGUUCCAGCAUUCGAGGCCAAUCCCCAGCUCCACUUAGGGCCAAGUGGGCAAUCAUGGGUUCAGCAGUCUACACUGGACUUCCGGGGCACACCUGCAGGAAGACUUGGCUGGAGAGAGACCCCAAAGGCUACACUGUUCCCCGCUGCGUAUCUAGAAGGCACAGGGCAGCAUUGGGUUGAUACUGGACAUUGGACAAAAGAUAGGAAGGUUCAAGGGAGAAGCUCAAAAGAGAAUGCUGUCUGUUUGAAAUGCUCACCGACCCACGUCAGCCUAUCCAGCUGCUACUCAUCCUUCAAAGCUCAGUUCACAAUGUCCUCCUUAUUGCAGAUUUCCCUGCCCCAUGCACCCAGCCUCUCUCAUAGAUUCCUGGCUCCUUUCUGUGUUCCUAGAACAGAAACAGUCAUGGUCUCCCCAGCCCGGGAUACAAAAUAAUGACCAAAAAUACCUGA
Molecule: long non-coding RNA, 2822 nt
Organism: Equus caballus (horse)
Lineage: Eukaryota; Metazoa; Chordata; Mammalia; Perissodactyla; Equidae
Source: Ensembl